GACGAACGCUGGCGGCGUGCUUAACACAUGCAAGUCGAACGGAAAGGCCCUGCUUUUGUGGGGUGCUCGAGUGGCGAACGGGUGAGUAACACGUGAGUAACCUGCCCUUGACUUUGGGAUAACUUCAGGAAACUGGGGCUAAUACCGGAUAGGAGCUCCUGCUGCAUGGUGGUGGUUGGAAAGUUUCGGCGGUUGGGGAUGGACUCGCGGCUUAUCAGCUUGUUGGUGGGGUAGUUGCUUACCAAGGCUUUGACGGGUAGCCGGCCUGAGAGGGUGACCGGCCACAUUGGGACUGAGAUACGGCCCAGAGUCCUACGGGAGGCAGCAGUGGGGAAUAUUGCACAAUGGGCGGAAGCCUGAUGCAGCAACGCCGCGUGCGGGAUGACGGCCUUCGGGUUGUAAACCGCUUUCGCCUGUGACGAAGCGUGAGUGACGGUAAUGGGUAAAGAAGCACCGGCUAACUACGUG
This 468-nucleotide ribosomal RNA is filed under the name uncultured bacterium. Its description in RNAcentral is "partial 16S ribosomal RNA". It matches the Rfam family "Bacterial small subunit ribosomal RNA", at positions 28 to 507 of the family's 1533-position model. The record is from RNAcentral.